This 497-nucleotide ribosomal RNA is filed under the name uncultured bacterium. Its description in RNAcentral is "partial 16S ribosomal RNA". It matches the Rfam family "Bacterial small subunit ribosomal RNA", at positions 28 to 507 of the family's 1533-position model. The record is from RNAcentral.
GAUGAACGCUGGCGGCGUGCCUAAUACAUGCAAGUCGAGCGAACGGACGAGAAGCUUGCUUCUCUGAUGUUAGCGGCGGACGGGUGAGUAACACGUGGAUAACCUACCUAUAAGACUGGGAUAACUUCGGGAAACCGGAGCUAAUAGCGGAUAAUAUUUUGAACCUCAUGGUUCAAAAGUGAAAGACGGUCUUGCUGUCACUUAUAGAUGGAUCCGCGCUGCAUUAGCUAGUUGGUAAGGUAACGGCUUACCAAGGCAACGAUGCAUAGCCGACCUGAGAGGGUGAUCGGCCACACUGGAACUGAGACACGGUCCAGACUCCUACGGGAGGCAGCAGUAGGGAAUCUUACGCAAUGGGCGAAAGCCUGACGGAGCAACGCCGCGUGAGUGAUGAAGGUCUUCGGAUCGUAAAACUCUGUUAUUAGGGAAGAACAUAUGUGUAAGUAACUGUGCACAUCUUGACGGUACCUAAUCAGAAAGCCACGGCUAACUACGUG